UAAUUUCUUGCCUUAAUUAAAAAGUAAAUUAAUUGAGCAUUGGAUUACACUCAUUAAUGAUAAUGCAUUCAAAUAUUUAUUAAAAAAAAUUAUAACCGCCGCCGUUGAUCGCCAGACAGCCAUUCUGGACAUUGCCGGCGGCAAGAUCGACGCCCAUUGUCUUCCUUUCGGCGAUGGACACAGUUCACCUACGUACAUACAUCAAACAUGAAACCAAAGGUUUAAGGUCAUUAGAUUUAUCCCAAAUAAAGAAAAAAAGUUUUACGGUCAUUAGUUUACACAAAACAAAAGAACCAUACUUGAAUAUUCAUAAGCCAAAGAAAAUGGUUGGAAGAAAUUAGUUGAUUUUUUUGCGUUGAACCUUUAAACCCAUCGUAAAAAUACUUGGGUCUAAAGACUAUUUGAGACGAUUUAAAACCGUCCCUGAUGAAUUAUAUUUUUGGGGACGAAUAUCCUAAUAUUCCGGAUUUUGCAACCCAGAAUUGUGUCGCUAAAAGUGUGAAGAACUCAUUCUCCCAGCAUAACAAAGAGAACUGUUCGGUAAAACGCAAAAGAUCACUACGAGGACAAUCUUGAAGAGAGAUAUGAUGAAGUAAGUUAUUAUUGAUGGAAAUCAAUAGAAUGGGAGGCAUCGGAAAGAAAAUAAAAACGAUGAGAUGAAUCAGCUAUAACUCAUUCUUUCUUCUUUCUUUCGGUGUCCACCAUUUCGUCAAAUCCAAACACAUCCUUUGAUCUCAUAGUCCUUUCUCAAACUAAUGAGCGCAAUAGGCUUAUUGAUGAAAAUCAAUGGAAUGGAAGGCAUCGGAAAGAAAAUAAAAAUGAAGAGACGAAUCGGUCGUAAUUCGUUAUUUUGUUUUCUUUCCGAGCCCACCAUUCCGCUGAAUCCCAACACACCAUUUGAUCUAAUAGUUCUUUCUAGAUCUAAUGCAAUAGGCUUAUUGAUGAAAAUCCAAUGGAAUGGAAGGCAUCGGAAAGAAAAUCAAUACAGAGGAAUUAGCACAUAGUACUUAAUUCUUUCAUUUUCUUUCCGAACCCUCCAUUCCGUCGAAUCCUCACUCACGCCUCUGAUCAAUCUCAUAACCCUCUCUAGAUCUUUGUACAAUGGAAU
Molecule: long non-coding RNA, 1108 nt
Filed under: Linum usitatissimum (flax)
Lineage: Eukaryota; Viridiplantae; Streptophyta; Magnoliopsida; Malpighiales; Linaceae
Description: long non-coding RNA (LUSI_LNC007177)
Source: RNAcentral